GCGUCGUCUACUGCAUCCCCCACCACGCCUUCGCACUCAUCUCCAUGGUAGGAGAAGGCACACACAUCUGGUCCUAUUUGGAAAAGUGAAAAUUUUAGGGUGUUACAAUUCUACCCCCCUUAAGAUGAAUCUCGUCCUCGAGAUUCGGUUGGUGCUUACUCAAACAACUGAGGAUAUGACUUUCUUAAAUCUUCUUCCCUUUCCCAGGUAGCCUCUUCCUUGGUAUAUCUAUUCCACUGUACUCUGCACAUUCUGAUGACCCGACUCCUAGUGACUCUUUCUGCUGUUUCCAAAAUUCAUACCGGAUACUCUUCAUAAGUAAGAUCCUCUUUAACGGUUAAUUCCUCUAUCGGUAUCUGCUCUUCUGGCACCC
Molecule: long non-coding RNA, 373 nt
Filed under: Sorghum bicolor (sorghum)
Lineage: Eukaryota; Viridiplantae; Streptophyta; Magnoliopsida; Poales; Poaceae
Description: long non-coding RNA (SBIC_LNC002646)
Source: RNAcentral